CUACGGGGCGCUGCAGUGGGGGAUAUUGCACAAUGGAGGAAACUCUGAUGCAGCGACGUCGCGUGAGUGAUGAAGUAUUUCGGUGUGUAAACUCCUUUUAUAUGUCAAGAAAAUGACGGUAGCAUAUGAAUAAGCACCGGCUAACUCCGUGCCAGCAGCCGCGGUAAUACGGAGGGUGCAAGCGUUACUCGGAAUCACUGGGCGUAAAGGACGCGUAGGCGGGUUGGAAAGUCAGGUGUGAAAUCCUACAGCUUAACUGUAGAACUGCACUUGAAACUUCUAAUCUAGAGUAUGGGAGGGGGAGAUGGAAUUAGUGGUGUAGGGGUAAAAUCCGUAGAUAUCACUAGGAAUACCUAAAGCGAAGGCGAUCUCCUGGAACAUUACUGACGCUAAGGCGUGAAAGCGUGGGGAGCAAACAGGAUUAGAUACCCGUGUAGUC
Molecule: ribosomal RNA, 439 nt
Filed under: uncultured bacterium
Lineage: Bacteria
Description: partial 16S ribosomal RNA
Rfam family: Bacterial small subunit ribosomal RNA
Source: RNAcentral